Molecule: ribosomal RNA, 424 nt
Filed under: uncultured bacterium
Lineage: Bacteria
Description: bacterial SSU rRNA
Rfam family: Bacterial small subunit ribosomal RNA
Source: RNAcentral
UGAGGAAUAUUGGUCAAUGGGCGCGAGCCUGAACCAGCCAAGUAGCGUGAAGGAUGACUGCCCUAUGGGUUGUAAACUUCUUUUAUAGGGGAAUAAAGUUGGCCACGUGUGGCCUUUUGUAUGUACCUUAUGAAUAAGGAUCGGCUAACUCCGUUCCAGCAGCCGCGGUAAUACGGAGGAUCCGAGCGUUAUCCGGAUUUAUUGGGUUUAAAGGGAGCGUAGGCGGGGGCUUAAGUCAGUUGUGAAAGUUUGCGGCUCAACCGUAAAAUCGCAGUUGAUACUGGCUUCCUUGAGUGCGGCAGAGGCAGGCGGAAUUCGUGGUGUAGCGGUGAAAUGCUUAGAUAUCACGAAGAACCCCGAUUGCGAAGGCAGCCUGCUGGACCGUAACUGACGCUGAUGCUCGAAAGUGCGGGUAUCAAACAGG